Molecule: transfer-messenger RNA, 376 nt
Filed under: Burkholderiales bacterium
Lineage: Bacteria; Pseudomonadati; Pseudomonadota; Betaproteobacteria; Burkholderiales
Rfam family: transfer-messenger RNA
About the family: Bacterial tmRNA, also known as 10Sa RNA or SsrA, is named for its dual tRNA and mRNA-like properties. Its role is to liberate the mRNA from a stalled ribosome. To accomplish this part of the tmRNA is used as a reading frame that ends in a translation stop signal.
Source: RNAcentral
GGGGGUGACAUGGCUUCGACGGGGGUUACAAAGCAAUAAAGUGCAUACCGUGAUCGCAGUCGCACGUUAAACAUUGUGUAAAUUAAAUGCAAAAACUAAAUUUGCAAACAUGGUGGCGUCUAACGACGAAACUAUGUUACAAGUAGCUUAGUAUCUACUUGCGCUGUCUUAAUUUGUCUAUCAGUUAAAUCACAGUGUCAUAUUAGAUAGACUGUGAUAUAUUUUGACUACUUAAAUAUAUCAAGACUUAUGUAGUUAGUUAUUAUUAAUCUUGUAUAGUAGAGCUAAUGAUAACGAACAAGAAAACUAUACUAAGUAUGUAGGACUAAUUGUAGAGGGCUUUCGGACGCGGGUUCAAUUCCCGCCACCUCCACCA